This 506-nucleotide ribosomal RNA is filed under the name uncultured bacterium. Its description in RNAcentral is "partial 16S ribosomal RNA". It matches the Rfam family "Bacterial small subunit ribosomal RNA", at positions 29 to 523 of the family's 1533-position model. The record is from RNAcentral.
AGUGAACGCUGGCGGUAGGCCUAACACAUGCAAGUCGAACGGCAGCACAGGAGAGCUUGCUCUCUGGGUGGCGAGUGGCGGACGGGUGAGGAAUACAUCGGAAUCUACUCUGUCGUGGGGGAUAACGUAGGGAAACUUACGCUAAUACCGCAUACGACCUACGGGUGAAAGCAGGGGACCUUCGGGCCUUGCGCGAUUGAAUGAGCCGAUGUCGGAUUAGCUAGUUGGCGGGGCAAAGGCCCACCAAGGCGACGAUCCGUAGCUGGUCUGAGAGGAUGAUCAGCCACACUGGAACUGGGACACGGUCCAGACUCCUACGGGAGGCAGCAGUGGGGAAUAUUGGACAAUGGGCGCAAGCCUGAUCCAGCCAUACCGCGUGGGUGAAGAAGGCCUUCGGGUUGUAAGGCCCUUUUGUUGGGAAAGAAAUCCAGCUGGCUAAUACCCGGUUGGGAUGACGGUACCCAAAGAAUAAGCACCGGCUAACUUCGUGCCAGCCGCCGCCGUAA